RNAcentral lists this long non-coding RNA (398 nucleotides) under Capsicum annuum. Its description in RNAcentral is "long non-coding RNA (CANN_LNC005269)". The record is from RNAcentral. Lineage: Eukaryota; Viridiplantae; Streptophyta; Magnoliopsida; Solanales; Solanaceae.
AAUUCUAUUUAUGAAGUCUACUGGGGCAUAGUAGGAAUGAAGCCAAUCCAUGCGAAGAAUGACAUCAAAAUCAGUCAUCUCUAAUUCAACUAAGUCUGCUAAAGUAACUUUUUGAGAUACCAUAACUAAACAGUUCCUGUAUACCCACCGAGCUAUGGUAGAUUUAUCCACUGAGGUAGAGACUGAGAAAGAAUCAACAAGAAUUUUGGGACUAACUCCAAAAUUAAUAGCUAUAUAUGGAGUAACAAAGGAUAACAAAGCUCCUGGAUUUAGCAAAGAAUAAACAUAUAAAUGAAAAAAUUAUAACAUACCAGUGACCAUAUUAGGAGAACUUUCCUGAUCCCGUCGGGACUAAAGAGCAUAGAGUUUAUUUGGGCGCUGCCCACUGGUAGCACUGG